AAAAGUCUGCUGUGUGCGUGGUAUGGGAAAUUCGUAAUCCACAGAUAUAAUUCGGGAGCGAUACGUUCGCAGAAAUAGGCAAGGUCUGUAAAUUUUACGGAAAGUCCGAAUAAUUUCUGCUUCGACGCACCCACCUGCGAGAAGCGGGUUAAUACUUUUUCAUAACACGGCAUAAGCGGAUUUAUU
RNAcentral lists this non-coding RNA (186 nucleotides) under Candidatus Coproplasma excrementipullorum. RNAcentral's name for it is "6S RNA". It matches the Rfam family "6S / SsrS RNA". Rfam says of the family: E. coli 6S RNA was the first non coding RNA to be sequenced, but its function was unknown until recently. It consists of 184 nucleotides that fold into an extended hairpin structure with a large single-stranded internal bulge. Lineage: Bacteria; Bacillati; Bacillota; Clostridia; Eubacteriales. The record is from RNAcentral.